Molecule: long non-coding RNA, 556 nt
Filed under: Phasianus colchicus (ring-necked pheasant)
Lineage: Eukaryota; Metazoa; Chordata; Aves; Galliformes; Phasianidae
Description: lncRNA (ENSPCLG00000019059.1)
Source: RNAcentral
AUGGUCAUGGUUAUAGUCAUGGUCAUGGUUAUGGUCAUGGUUAUGGUUAUGGUUAUGGCCAUGGUCAUGGUCAUGGUUAUGUUAUUGUUAUGGUUAUGGUUAUGUUAAAGUCAUGGUUAUGGUUAUGUUAUGGUUAUGGUUACGGUCAUGGUUAUGGUCAUGGUUAUGAUUACGGUUAUGUUAUGGUUAUGGUCAUGGUUAUGGUUAUGUUACAGUCAUGGUUAUGGUCAUGGUGAUGGUUAUGUUAUGGUUAUGUUGUUAUGGUUAUGGUGAUGGUUAUGUUACAGUCAUGGUUAUGGUCAUGGUUAUGGUUAUGUUAUGGUCAUGGUUAUGGUUAUGUUGUUAUGGUUAUGGUUAUGGUUAUGGUUAUGGUCAUGGUUAUGGUUAUGAUUACGGUGAUGAAUGCAGAGAACAGUGGGGGGCACCAGGGCCACUGCCUCACAAUUAAACUCAUAAUUACCAAACCAGGAACCCCCCUCCAGCCCCCCCCCCAUCCCAAAAUCCCACCAUUGUCCAUCGGGGCUCCCCAUUGUCUUUUGGGGUCGCCAUCGUUCCC